UUACAAUGUGUUUACUUACUUAUAUAUUCUUCAAAUUAUUUUGAAACAGAUUUACAGAAUCUAUAUAUGAAUUUAUCCCGAUGCCGGCCUCUAAAGAUAUUUUUUUGGAUUUUCAUAAAGGAAAGAAUGAGAUCCGAUGAAAGGACUGGGGAAGUGGCUGUGGAAUGAGGCGAAGUGGGACCCUAAAUCUUUUGCCAGGCCCAAAACAUGACAAAGGAUGUGUGUCCGUGUCCGUGUGCGAGUGUCCCGCUCAAGGUGCGAAUGUGUGAGUGCGUCCGAGUGAAGAGGACGAAACGGAGGCGAUUUGGCAAUGGCCAACGUGUAGCGGAAGGUGUUUAACAAACAGCCCAAAACAAACAAUUGUAAAACAGGCAGAGCGACAACGGCAACAGCAACAGCAACAGCAACAACAAUUGCAGCAGCAACAGCAACUUGCAGCGGCAGCACCAACAACAACAACAUCGAAAAGUGAGGGCGUGGCUGGCAAUGUACGCCCUCCUCGAAGGGUCGCAUUUUAUCAGCGAUAAAAGAUCUGAGC
Molecule: long non-coding RNA, 538 nt
Organism: Drosophila ficusphila
Lineage: Eukaryota; Metazoa; Arthropoda; Insecta; Diptera; Drosophilidae
Exons: 3
Source: RefSeq, a predicted model, not a curated record